Molecule: transfer RNA, 74 nt
Filed under: Saprospiraceae bacterium
Lineage: Bacteria; Pseudomonadati; Bacteroidota; Saprospiria; Saprospirales; Saprospiraceae
Description: tRNA-Ala
Rfam family: tRNA
About the family: Transfer RNA (tRNA) molecules are approximately 80 nucleotides in length.
Source: RNAcentral
GGGGAAUUAGCUCAAUUGGCUAGAGCGCUGGCAUCGCACGCCAGAGGUUGGGGGUUCGAGUCCCCUAUUCUCCA